This 442-nucleotide ribosomal RNA is filed under the name uncultured bacterium. Its description in RNAcentral is "partial 16S ribosomal RNA". It matches the Rfam family "Bacterial small subunit ribosomal RNA", at positions 338 to 795 of the family's 1533-position model. The record is from RNAcentral.
CCUACGGGAGACAGCAGUGGGGAAUAUUGCACAAUGGGGGAAACCCUGAUGCAGCGACGCCGCGUGGGCGAAGAAGUAUUUCGGUAUGGAAAGCCCUAUCAGCAGGGAAGAAGAAAUGACGGUACCUGAGGAAGAAGCACCGGCUAAAGACUGGCCAGCAGCCGCCGUAAUACGUAGGGUGCAAGCGUUAUCCGGAUUUACUGGGGGUAAAGGGAGCGCAGGCGGCACGGCAAGCCUGAUGUGAAAGCCCGCGGCCCAACCGCCGGACUGCAUUGGAAACUAGCGGGCUGGAGUGCCGGAGAGGUAGGCGGAAUGCCUAGUGUAGCGGUGAAAUGCGUAGAUAUUAGGAGGAACACCAGUGGCGAAGGCGGCCUACUGGACGGUGACUGACGCUGAGGCUCGAAAGCGUGGGGAGCAAACAGGAUUAGAUACCCGUGUAGUC